ACCAGCCUGGGGAGAACCUAUAG
RNAcentral lists this non-coding RNA (23 nucleotides) under Cricetulus griseus (Chinese hamster). Lineage: Eukaryota; Metazoa; Chordata; Mammalia; Rodentia; Cricetidae. The record is from RNAcentral.